RNAcentral lists this transfer RNA (72 nucleotides) under archaeon. Its description in RNAcentral is "tRNA-Val". It matches the Rfam family "tRNA". Rfam says of the family: Transfer RNA (tRNA) molecules are approximately 80 nucleotides in length. Their secondary structure includes four short double-helical elements and three loops (D, anti-codon, and T loops). The record is from RNAcentral. RNAcentral also lists the same sequence under 1 other name.
GGGCUCGUAGCUCAGGGGUAGAGCGCUUCUCUUACACAGAAGAGGUCGCUGGUUCAAGUCCAGCCGAGCCCA